ACACUCCUACGGGAGGCAGCAGUGAGGAAUAUUGGACAAUGGGUGGAAGCCUGAUCCAGCCAUCCCGCGUGCAGGAAGACGGCCCUAUGGGUUGUAAACUGCUUUUAUCUGGGGAUAAACCUACUUACGUGUAAGUAGCUGAAGGUACCAGAAGAAUAAGCACCGGCGAACUCCGUGCCAGCAGCCGCGGUAAUACGGAGGGUGCAAGCGUUAUCCGGAUUUAUUGGGUUUAAAGGGUCCGUAGGCGGACUGAUAAGUCAGUGGUGAAAUCCGACAGCUUAACUGUCGAACUGCCAUUGAUACUGUUAGUCUUGAGUAAGGUUGAAGUGGCUGGAAUAAGUAGUGUAACGGUGAAAUGCAUAGAUAUUACUUAGAACACCAAUUGCGAAGGCAGGUCACUAAGUCUUAACUGACGCUGAUGGACGAAAGCGUGGGGAGCGAACAGGAUUAGAAACCCGUGUAGUCCC
This 467-nucleotide ribosomal RNA is filed under the name uncultured organism. Its description in RNAcentral is "partial 16S ribosomal RNA". It matches the Rfam family "Bacterial small subunit ribosomal RNA", at positions 333 to 797 of the family's 1533-position model. The record is from RNAcentral.